UACGGAGGGGGCAAGCGUUGUUCGGAAUUACUGGGCGUAAAGCGCGCGUAGGCGGUUGGGUAAGUCAGAUGUGAAAGCCCCCAGCUCAACUGGGGAACUGCGUCUGAUACUGCUCGGCUUGAGUCCGAUAGGGGAUGGCAGAAUUCCCGGUGUAGCGGUGGAAUGCGUAGAUAUCGGGAGGAAUACCGAUGGCGAAGGCGGCCAUCUGGGUCGGUACUGACGCUGAGGCGCGAAAGCUAGGGGAGCAAACAGG
Molecule: ribosomal RNA, 253 nt
Filed under: uncultured bacterium
Lineage: Bacteria
Description: partial 16S ribosomal RNA
Rfam family: Bacterial small subunit ribosomal RNA
Source: RNAcentral